RNAcentral lists this long non-coding RNA (115 nucleotides) under Gorilla gorilla gorilla (western lowland gorilla). RNAcentral's name for it is "lncRNA (ENSGGOG00000044254.1)". Lineage: Eukaryota; Metazoa; Chordata; Mammalia; Primates; Hominidae. The record is from RNAcentral.
GGAGGCAGUAGCAUGGUAACACCUCAAAAUCAAGCAUCCAGCAGCUGAAUCCGAAAAACACAAGAACAAGGAAAAAGUUUGAAUGAAGACUAAAACAAUUGAGCUUCAGCAAAGC